This 64-nucleotide transfer RNA is filed under the name Imatidium capense. RNAcentral describes it as "tRNA-Asn". Lineage: Eukaryota; Metazoa; Arthropoda; Insecta; Coleoptera; Chrysomelidae. The record is from RNAcentral.
UUAAUUGAAACCAAAUUAGAGGUUUAUCACUGUUAAUGAUAUUAAUGAUUACUAUCCAAUUAAA